Molecule: non-coding RNA, 657 nt
Organism: Pogona vitticeps (central bearded dragon)
Lineage: Eukaryota; Metazoa; Chordata; Lepidosauria; Squamata; Agamidae
Source: RefSeq, a predicted model, not a curated record
UGGAAUUUUUGUACUCCUACAGCUGCCAAAUUUUGUGGAACAAGAAGUCUCAUGAGUCAUAACACUCAUGCUCCAUUUCAUACCUUGCUUCAGAUUACACAAUAAACCCAACACCAAAAAGUCAGGAGCAUGUGAAAAGGAUUGGAGAGAGAGCCAAUGAGUGCAUUUGGGCUACUCAUGACAUUUGAAGCAACAUACAAGCAUUUUUGCAAUGAGCCAUGCUGCUCACCCGGAUGUCCCCCCUCUCCUGGAGACCCAGAGAAGAAUAGCAAUUCCACGAGACUUCAGUAGCAACUCUAAAGAUGACCCACGGAUCACUCACGCAACUCAUCUGGAAACAUGGAAGAAAAAGCAGUCAAAGAAAAUAGUGAGACUUAGCUGUAUUUUGAAAAAGCAUUGGUAUGUUUUAGUUGUUGUUUUUAGGACACAUUCUAUCCUGUGACAACUUUCAACCAGAAAACUGAAAUUGGUGCAUAAUUCAUAAGAAUCUAAGACAAGAAAAGCCACUGAGGAUCAGGCCUGUCUGGUCCAGCAAUCCUGAUUCCUACAGCAGUUAAACAGAUGAAUGGCUAGCCAACAGUAGCAAAUUAACAUGUAGCCUAUGUAACAGGAAGGACUCAGAGGAACGAUGGCUUCGAAUUCUUCAUAUUGUAUCCU